GGAAUCUUGGACAAUGGGCGAAAGCCUGAUCCAGCGACGCCGCGUGACUGAUGAAGCCUUUCGGGGUGUAAAAGUCUUUCAGCGGGGACAAUGAUGAUGGUACCCGCAGAAGCAGCUGCGGCUCACUACGUGCCAGCAGCCGCCGUAAUACGUAGGCAGCUAGCGUUGUUCGGAAUUACUGGGCGUAAAGCGAGUGUAGGCGGUCUGUCAAGGCCGUUGUGAAAUCUCCCGGCUCAACUGGGAGGGUGCGCCGGAAACUGGCAGGCUAGAGUGCGGAAUGGGAGAGUGGAAUUCCUGGUGUAGCGGUGAAAUGCGUAGAUAUCAGGAGGAACACCGGUGGUGAAGACGGCUCUCUGGACCGUUACUGACGCUGAGGCUCGAAAGCGUGGGGAGCAAAC
This 398-nucleotide ribosomal RNA is filed under the name uncultured bacterium. RNAcentral's name for it is "bacterial SSU rRNA". It matches the Rfam family "Bacterial small subunit ribosomal RNA", at positions 358 to 773 of the family's 1533-position model. The record is from RNAcentral.